GGCUCCAUAGUUGAAUGGUACAAUAUUAUCUUAGGGUGAUAGUGGUCUGGGUUCGAUUCCCGGUGGAGCCC
Molecule: transfer RNA, 71 nt
Rfam family: tRNA
About the family: Transfer RNA (tRNA) molecules are approximately 80 nucleotides in length. Their secondary structure includes four short double-helical elements and three loops (D, anti-codon, and T loops).
Source: Rfam